UUUGAAUGAUUCAUAAAUAGAUAUGCCUCUUUUUUUAUUCCCCCCCCCCCCCCCACAGACUUCCACAUGCUGCUCAAAUCAACACCAGGCCAGUGUGUUUGUCUCAAAUGAGCAGUGUUUUCAAUAGUGUGCCACUACUAUUUGGAACAGCACAAGCUUUCCUAUUGAGACUAGCACAACUUGAAGCUCAGUUGGUUUUGAACCUGAUUAGUAAUGUUGCAGCUGUAAAUAAUAGCAGUUAUGGGAACCCCCUUGUUCCUUUAAAUCUCUUACAGCCUGUUGGCAUUCAAAGAGCCACAUUUUUGAGCAUGUACCAGCACCCAGGGGGUUUUAAAAACAUGGAUUCCAUACCUCACAUGAUUAGCCACCCCUCAACAUCUGUCACAGACAUUAAUUCAGUAAUUUCCUAUAAGGAGAGUGGUGCCCUUCUAGCAAAAGAGAUCAUUCAGGAGAAAGCUCUAGGUCCCAUCAUGAAUAACACAACGUUGCCACUGCAAGCAUCUGAGGAAGCUCUUGUUAGAUCCAGUCACAACCAUCUUGGCAAACAUUUCACCUUCAAACCAGACGUGGACUGUUCUCAAUAUCAGUCAAUGAUAGCCAAAGCAAUGAUGCCUCCUGACAGACCUCAAACCGAAGAAGCAGAGCCAAAGCAACAAACAAUGCUGUAUUUUCCAACAGACAACCUGAACAAAGCUUUGACCAGCCUUGGCCUUUCUCUUGAGGAUCUAGAAUUACUCAGCCAUUGCCCAGACAACCAGUUAACAACAGAGAAUCUCCCCUUCAUUAUACAAGACAUUCAACAGCACAAAGGAACAAAGGACAUUAAAUAUGGCCAUGCUACAUGGAACUCAUCUGAUCAAGUGGAAUCAUCCAGGGGGUCAUCAUACGCUCAUGGGGAACAGAGGAAUCAAAGGAUUAUUAACGGUGAAUGGCAAGAAUCCCAUUCCCAUAGAUCCCUCAGCCCUGAAAAAUGCUGCCCAUCUGAACUCAUUCAUGAGCACUUCUCGACCCAGUCUAAAACACUGAAAAGAAUAAGACAUUCAUCAGGAAGAGGCUCAAAUUCCUUCCUAAAGAGGCUGCAACAUGGGUCUGCUGAGGUCACCAGGUGGAGGAGGCCUGGUUCAGUCUAUUUUCCCCCUCACUCAAAAUGCAGCACAAGGCAAGAGUUUGUCUCUUUAGACUGUAAUAAAGCAAUACACUAUACUACACAAAGAACCUUGUCUUCUUCACGCAGAUCUACCACUUACAAUGGCAUGAAAAAAGGUCAUCAACAAUCUUCAUUUCCAGUCAAAUCUGCAAAAUCUGAAGUAACCACUGAUUCCAUGAACAUUCAGAUGCCAGUAACUAAGAUGACUGCAAAAACAUCAGCACAGACUAAGGGUGUGAUUCGUGUGUCUGGAAUCCCUCUUGAUUACUCUGAGAGUGAACUCAUCAAAAUGGCAUCUCCCUUUGGUCACCCUGUUGAGGUAUUAAUGGCAACUGAGGUUGACACAACAACCUGUCUAGAAUGGAAGAAGGCUUUACUGAUGUUUCCAACUGAAUUCUCAGCCCAGGAGAUGGUGAAGGUUUACUCUGCUAUCCCAGUUCACAUGAGGCAGCAAAGUUUAGAGCUGGUGUCCCAAAUGGUUGACUUUAGUUCACCUGUGAGUUAA
This 1652-nucleotide long non-coding RNA is filed under the name Sinocyclocheilus grahami. RNAcentral describes it as "lncRNA (ENSSGRG00000008880.1)". The record is from RNAcentral. Lineage: Eukaryota; Metazoa; Chordata; Actinopteri; Cypriniformes; Cyprinidae.